This 320-nucleotide ribosomal RNA is filed under the name Enterococcus faecium. RNAcentral describes it as "bacterial SSU rRNA". It matches the Rfam family "Bacterial small subunit ribosomal RNA", at positions 1181 to 1499 of the family's 1533-position model. The record is from RNAcentral. Lineage: Bacteria; Bacillati; Bacillota; Bacilli; Lactobacillales; Enterococcaceae.
GACGUCAAAUCAUCAUGCCCCUUAUGACCUGGGCUACACACGUGCUACAAUGGGAAGUACAACGAGUUGCGAAGUCGCGAGGCUAAGCUAAUCUCUUAAAGCUUCUCUCAGUUCGGAUUGCAGGCUGCAACUCGCCUGCAUGAAGCCGGAAUCGCUAGUAAUCGCGGAUCAGCACGCCGCGGUGAAUACGUUCCCGGGCCUUGUACACACCGCCCGUCACACCACGAGAGUUUGUAACACCCGAAGUCGGUGAGGUAACCUUUUGGAGCCAGCCGCCUAAAGGUGGGAUAGAUGAUGGGGUAAAGUCGUUACCAUGGUGC